GAUCAUUACAGAAAUUAUAACAAAGCACGCGGCUCCGCGUCUUUGUAUAAAAUCUAUCCCACCCCUUUGUGAACUACCGCGCGGAGCUAGUAAAAGUCUAGUCUUAAAGGCUAGGCUUUGAAAGUUCGCGAUAAAUCUAUAUACCCCCACGAUUAAGUUUCAGAAUGUACUCUUGCGUAUAUAUCGCAAUAAAAAUACAACUUUCAGCAACGGAUCUCUUGGCUCUCGCAUCGAUGAAGAACGCAGCGAAAUGCGAUAAGUAGUGUGAAUUGCAGAAUUCAGUGAAUCAUCGAAUCUUUGAACGCAACUUGCACCCUUUGGUAUUCCGAAGGGUACGCCUGUUUGAGUGUCGUGAACUCCUCCACUCGUUUACAUUUUUUGUAAUCCGAGCUGGGAUUUGGGGGUUUUUGCGGGUUGUUCCAAUCCGCUCCCCUUAAAUGCAUUAGCGAAACAUAUCGCUCCGAUGUGAUAAGACAAAUUUACAUCGUUGCUUCUUUUCGCUUCUAACCGUCCUUCGGGACAAUACACAUCGAACUUGACCUCAAAUCAGGCGGGACUACCCGCUGAACUUAAGCAUAUCAAUAAGCGGAGGAAAAGAAACUAACAAGGAUUCCCUUAGUAACUGCGAGUGAACCGGGAAAAGCUCAAAUUUAAAAUCUGGCGGUCUUCACCGUCCGAGUUGUAAUUUAGAGAAGCGUUUUCCGCGUCGGACCGUGUACAAGUCUCCUGGAACGGAGCGUCAUAGAGGGUGAGAAUCCCGUCUUUGACACGGACAACCGGGGCUAUGUGAUACGCUCUCGAAGAGUCGAGUUGUUUGGGAAUGCAGCUCAAAAUGGGUGGUGAACUCCAUCUAAAGCUAAAUAUUGGCGAGAGACCGAUAGCGAACAAGUACCGUGAGGGAAAGAUGAAAAGCACUUUGGAAAGAGAGUGAAACAGUACGUGAAAUUGCUGAAAGGGAAACGCUUGAAGUCAGUCGCGUCUGUCGGAAUUCAGCCGUAUGGUGUACUUUCCGAUUUGACGGGCCAGCAUCACUUUCGAUCGCAGGAAAAAGGUAGAGGGAAUGUGGCACCCUUCGGGUGUGUUAUAGCCUUCUAUCGUAUACUGUGCUUGGGAGUGAGGACCCGCCU
This 1127-nucleotide ribosomal RNA is filed under the name uncultured fungus. RNAcentral's name for it is "eukaryotic LSU rRNA". The stretch from base 537 to 1127 matches the Rfam family "Eukaryotic large subunit ribosomal RNA", at positions 1 to 600 of the family's 3401-position model. The record is from RNAcentral. Lineage: Eukaryota; Fungi.